UAGAGUUCUUGCCCAGCAGGGUAGAUCUCCCACCCUAUGUUGAUAUACGUUUGUUGCUUUGGCAAGCCUGAUAGACCUUGGUCUAGCCACCGGCUCUAGCGGGUGAGCGCUUGCCAGAGGACCCUAAAACCUUUUUGUAACCAAUUGUCCGAGUAUUAUAUCAAUAAUUAA
This 171-nucleotide unclassified non-coding RNA is filed under the name uncultured Cryptosporiopsis. RNAcentral's name for it is "sequence contains ITS1". The record is from RNAcentral. Lineage: Eukaryota; Fungi; Ascomycota; Leotiomycetes; Helotiales; Dermateaceae.